Molecule: ribosomal RNA, 571 nt
Filed under: Lodderomyces orthopsilosis
Lineage: Eukaryota; Fungi; Ascomycota; Pichiomycetes; Serinales; Debaryomycetaceae
Description: Candida orthopsilosis partial large subunit ribosomal RNA
Rfam family: Eukaryotic large subunit ribosomal RNA
Source: RNAcentral
AAACCAACAGGGAUUGCCUUAGUAGCGGCGAGUGAAGCGGCAAAAGCUCAAAUUUGAAAUCUGGCACUUUCAGUGUCCGAGUUGUAAUUUGAAGAAGGUAUCUUUGGGUCUGGCUCUUGUCUAUGUUUCUUGGAACAGAACGUCACAGAGGGUGAGAAUCCCGUGCGAUGAGAUGUCCCAGACCUAUGUAAAGUUCCUUCGAAGAGUCGAGUUGUUUGGGAAUGCAGCUCUAAGUGGGUGGUAAAUUCCAUCUAAAGCUAAAUAUUGGCGAGAGACCGAUAGCGAACAAGUACAGUGAUGGAAAGAUGAAAAGAACUUUGAAAAGAGAGUGAAAAAGUACGUGAAAUUGUUGAAAGGGAAGGGCUUGAGAUCAGACUUGGUAUUUUGUAUGUUACUCUCUCGGGGGUGGCCUCUACAGUUUACCGGGCCAGCAUCAGUUUGGGCGGUAGGACAAUUGCAAAGAAAUGUGGCACUGCCUCGGUAGUGUGUUAUAGUCUUUGUCGAUACUGCCAGCCUAGACUGAGGACUGCGGCUUCGGCCUAGGAUGUUGGCAUAAUGAUCUUAAGUCGCC